Long non-coding RNA from Neofelis nebulosa (Clouded leopard), 2389 nucleotides. RefSeq lists it as uncharacterized. The transcript has 4 exons. NCBI's taxonomy places the organism in Eukaryota, Metazoa, Chordata, Mammalia, Carnivora, Felidae. The record is from RefSeq and is a predicted model, not a curated record.
UCACUUCUCUGGCAGGUAGAGCACAGUCAUGAUGUGGACUCGGCCAGUCGGCACCCACGCGGGGACUUCCACUGAGGGGCUUGUGACAUAAGGGAACCAAUGGGAGCAUUAGGACUGGUUCCAGAGGUGGAAGUGCUGGAAUCCGGUGCCCACGGUCCCCACUGGAGAGUUCCCCAGUGUCGUUCAGACAUUAUUCCCAAAUGUGCAGACUCCGACGAGCCUGAUGUGCUCCCAGAGUCUGGGGGCUCCCCCGACCCCCUUUCCUAAAUCCCUUUCCUGCUCCAGUGGCUGGAGUGAGCCCCAGCGGGGAAGCACCCCGACAAUGUGCAGCCCAAACCUCCCACUUUCUGCGCUCGCUCGUCCCCUCCGUGUCUGAGCAGUUGGCGGCCCUGCAGAGCCACCCCAAGUGUCUGAUAUGGAAGAGCCUCUCCUUGUCACCUCCUGGAGGCAGCUGACAGACUAACAGAGCAGAAAACAUGGAGUUUUGCUUCCAAAUAGGAAAAUUGGAUUGUAAAUCAAUGGAGAGCCCAUCUGGGAGCGCGUUCUCGCAAAUCCCGAACGCCACAAGCUGGAGGACACGGUGUCCCUGGAGAAUACUCUGUGUUGACAUCAGUAACUACUAAGAAACGGUACUGGGAACCAGAACGUCGUUAGGAAAGCUGGUCCUCAGGAAAGUGACAGCCAAGCACAGACCUGAAGAAAGUGACGGCAUGAACCAAGCUUCUAAAUGAGGAAAGAGAGCUCAGCGAGCACAGCAAGUGCAAAGGCCCUGAGGCAGAACCUUGUCCCACACGCUGGAGACACAGGACUAUUCUACGCAGAGCACUGUCGGAAAUUCCGAGCCUUGAAGGAGAUGUCCUGACGGAGGUGAUGGGAGUCACACGCGUGCGAAGAUGCUCGCCGAAGCGCGGCAGCCUGUUAGACUGUUUGUUGUGCAGCCUCUGCUCUGUCUCCCUCCGGAGGAGAAUGGAAGCAGCCAAAGCAGUGACAUGUGUUUGCUUUGUAAACCACCAGUCUUUGCGGUCCGUUUGCCCGCUCAUCAGCAACCCCGCAGCAGUACUGGAGGUCGGUACUGUUAUCAUUGCACCUUACACGGGUGGGGAAACCGAGGCACGCUGCCCAGACCUCUUCUCAAACUUCUCAGGAGCAGAUUUCCACCAUUCCCAGCUUCCCUGGUCUUUCGCCCGGGCCCCACUCAGGGUCCCUUACGUGCUACCCAACCCCACAGAGCUGCAACCAUAAAGACUCAGUUUUUUAAACAAAUGGACCAGAAUAUGUUUUGCAUCCGAUUCUUCUUGAGCCCCGCAGCGCGGUCUCCAGGAGGAAUCGCACUCGUUCCAACAACGGAGUCAUGGUCAAGGUGCUCAGAGCUGGAGCGGGAACCGCACAGACAUCUGCCCCUUUAUUGCAGAGCCACACCUUGCCCGACCGUCCGACAGCACUCCGGACAGCGGCACAUUUCCUUACUAUUGAUUUUGAACCCGAAUCAGCCGCAGACAUUUGUAAGUGCCAGCCCCGCUCUCCAGGGCCAGGCAGGUGGACAUACUAUCCUCACAGUCGCACAGAGGCCCGCGCUCGGCAGGGCCCACGCUCGGUUUAACGCUCUGCCCUUCGCCGAUUUGAAAUGCUUCAGAAGUUUUGGACACAGGACCCUGCAUUGGGCCCCAAACCUUAUGUAGUGGGACCCACCUCCAGUUUGCCCCAGUUGGUGUAUGUAUGUUCUCAGGUAUUGAGAAACGCAGGUUUCGGAUUAAAGGCAACUCCCUUCCCAAGAGAAAUCUCCAAGUGUCUGAUCAGUGGGUGUGUCCCCAGAGGGUCCCACUCAGAAAAGUCUGUGCUCGUUGAGAUUCAUAAGUGCCACUGAGUUGGUUAAACAACACAGAUCCUACCACUGCUUAGCUCAUACCUGAAGAGUGAGGUCACGAUUUUAACAUCUAGGCCGGGCCAGAGAUGGAACAUCACUGGAGUGUGGCCAGGAGGCUCCCGGUUAGUUUCUUCCUUUCUCAUUUCCUGCUUCAGGAUAGGUUUGAUCAGGGUGUCACUGAGCUCUGGCAGUCCUGUUGAUAGGUCUGGGGCUAGAGCAAUUUGUGUUCUGUGCCCCAGAUUGUCUAUACUUGGGUAAAGUGAUGCCUUCCUCCUUUGGUUGGUUUGUCCUGCAGGCCCCACCCAAGUCCCCAAGGCCCCCAUUGUCACCCACCCAGGAGGUGCUAUGAGGACCCAUAGCCUUUCCCAUCACAGUUCCAGAAAUGCCCCCAGCACCAGGCCAUUCUUCCCUCCAAAACAUUUAGGAGAAGGCUUUGAACAACUAGAAAAUGAAGAAGACAGUUUCCCAGCAUAAAAUGAAAACAUGGGGCCUCUUGUUAAAAAAUUACUAGGAAUUUCAAGACAA